AUAUCUGGUCUUUAUAUCAUCUACCGUUAGUGGAUAUGAAGGCACGGGGCGCUCUUUGUCACUGAAGCUUCUCAGUCACUUAGAAUCGAAAAGUCAGAAUCCUGCUCGUGCUGCUAGUUCCAGUCACUCUGGUAACCUAUUCCAGAAGAUAGAAUUGAAGGAGCCCAUCAGAUAUUCAUCUGGGGAUCCCAUAGAGUCUUGGCUUAACAGUUUACUGUGCUUGGAUGUUAUGAAUUCGACACCUGCUAUAAGCAGGUUCCCUCAUCCUAAGGAAUGUGAUUUGUAUUUUGUAAAUCGAGACACCUUGUUCUCCUUCCACAAAGAAAGUGAAAUAUUUCUACAGCGAAUGAUGGCUCUUUAUGUUUCAUCUCACUACAAGAACUCUCCUAAUGAUCUGCAACUAAUGGCAGAUGCUCCAGCUCACCAUCUAUUUGUACUGCUUGGACCAGUUGAUGAGACAAGAAAUAUUCUUCCAGACAUUUUGUG
Molecule: unclassified non-coding RNA, 486 nt
Filed under: Hevea brasiliensis (rubber tree)
Lineage: Eukaryota; Viridiplantae; Streptophyta; Magnoliopsida; Malpighiales; Euphorbiaceae
Source: RNAcentral